Molecule: non-coding RNA, 114 nt
Organism: Acanthosepion pharaonis
Lineage: Eukaryota; Metazoa; Mollusca; Cephalopoda; Sepiida; Sepiidae
Source: the annotation of a GenBank genome assembly
UUAUGGCCAUAUCAUGUUGAAACAUCGGUUCCCAUAAGAUCACCAAAGUUAAGCAAUGUUGAUCUUCGUCAGUAUCUAAAUGGGUGACCACUUGGGAAUAUUAGAUACUGUAAG